UCACACCGAUCGACCUUGUCGAUGUGA
Molecule: small RNA, 27 nt
Filed under: Bombyx mori (domestic silkworm)
Lineage: Eukaryota; Metazoa; Arthropoda; Insecta; Lepidoptera; Bombycidae
Description: ovarian small RNA-24998
Source: RNAcentral